This 259-nucleotide long non-coding RNA is filed under the name Elaeis guineensis (African oil palm). RNAcentral's name for it is "long non-coding RNA (EGUI_LNC027686)". Lineage: Eukaryota; Viridiplantae; Streptophyta; Magnoliopsida; Arecales; Arecaceae. The record is from RNAcentral.
GGAUCUGAAGCUGCUGAUACUCGUUGACGCAUGCAACUAACUUCUGAGCUCGUUGCUCAGUCCGCUGUCGAUCCUCGACAGCCUGCCUUUGCACCUCCAUUAGUCGAGCCUCGUAGGCAGAAUGGAUGUCAGCCCUAGACGAGUGUGAGGAUAAGGGGGCAGUGAUCCCAUAUCCUAGACCUCUAACAUAACAGGAUCUCGUACCAAGCACCUGAUCAUAGAUCUCAUCAUCUGUGGGUGCGAUCGAACCCUCAGGGAU